AGCGAACGCUGGCGGCAGGCUUAACACAUGCCAGUCGAACGGGCACUUCGGUGCUAGUGGCAGACGGGUGAGUAACACGUGGGAACGUACCUUUCGGUUCGGAAUAAUCCAGGGAAACUUGGACUAAUACCGGAUACGCCCUUCGGGGGAAAGAUUCAUCGCCGAUAGAUCGGCCCGCGUCUGAUUAGCUAGUUGGUGAGGUAAUGGCUCACCAAGGCGACGAUCAGUAGCUGGUCUGAGAGGAUGAUCAGCCACAUUGGGACUGAGACACGGCCCAAACUCCUACGGGAGGCAGCAGUGGGGAAUAUUGGACAAUGGGCGCAAGCCUGAUCCAGCCAUGCCGCGUGAGUGAUGAAGGCCUUAGGGUUGUAAAGCUCUUUUGUCCGGGAAGAUAAUGACUGUACCGGAAGAAUAAGCCCCGGCUAACUUCGU
This 432-nucleotide ribosomal RNA is filed under the name uncultured bacterium. RNAcentral's name for it is "partial 16S ribosomal RNA". It matches the Rfam family "Bacterial small subunit ribosomal RNA", at positions 29 to 506 of the family's 1533-position model. The record is from RNAcentral.